AACGAAGUUGCACCUUCGGGAGUAACUGAGUGGCAGACGGCUGAGUAACACGUGAAUGAUCUGCCUUCGGGUGAGGAACAACGGAGAGAAAUUUCUGCUAAUACCUCAUACGAUCCACAAUCUAAGUUUGUGGAUGAAAGGUGCCGGGUAACCGGUUUCCGCCCUUAGAUGAGUUCGCGGCCUAUCAGGUAGUUGGUGGGGUAAUAGCCUACCAAGCCUAAGACGGGUAACUGGUGUGAGAGCACGACCAGUCAGAGGGGGACUGAGACACGGCCCCCACUCC
This 283-nucleotide ribosomal RNA is filed under the name uncultured bacterium. RNAcentral's name for it is "partial 16S ribosomal RNA". It matches the Rfam family "Bacterial small subunit ribosomal RNA", at positions 65 to 339 of the family's 1533-position model. The record is from RNAcentral.